Molecule: ribosomal RNA, 870 nt
Filed under: Triticum aestivum (bread wheat)
Lineage: Eukaryota; Viridiplantae; Streptophyta; Magnoliopsida; Poales; Poaceae
Description: partial small subunit ribosomal RNA
Source: RNAcentral
GCUCUUUUGGAAAAACAGUGUUGGAGGCUUUUGUGCGAACUGGAAUCAUUAUGUGCCAGAGUAUUGAAAGCAAAGUAUUCCUCCGAUGGUGACCUUCUGAACUAUACGUUGAAAAAGGGUAGUUCAUAUACUUGGCAGAGUCUCUGGAGUGGAAUUUAGUCCUUUGAAAGAGGACACAUUUGGAGAGUAGGAGAUGGAUCACAGAUUAAUAUCUGGGAGGACCCUUGGAUUCCCAGCAGCCCGACCCACAGAGUUCUUACACCAAGGGGAAAUAUAGUGAUCACAAGAGUUUAUGAACUAAUUGAUUCGGAAAACAGAGUGUGGAAUGAACAAUUGCGAUUUUUUUGGCCAAUUGAUGUGGAGCGUAUUAUGAAUAUCCCUCUAGCUUUGAGAAUGAUGGAAGAUUUUGUAUCAUGGCACUUCAAUAGAAGUGGAAUUUUCUCAGUAAGAUCGGCUUACCAUGAAGGGUGGGAGCACCAGCAUGGACAAAAGUUGAGGACGACAAACUCAUUACAAGCCUCAAGUACCAUUUGGAAAUUGCGUGUGCCAUCAAAAAUCAAAAUCCAUGUUUGGAGGACUUUGCUUGGAGCUAUUCCUUGCCGUGGUGUUUUAGGAAACAGACAUAUGAUUACAAGUUCCUAGUGUCCCCUUUGUAGUUCGGACUGUAAGAGCAUUAGGCAUGCCAUGUUUUUGUGCCCGAGGGUGCAGGAAAUUUGGUGAAUUCUUGGACUACAGGAGCUAGUGAAUGAAAUAUGCACAGUAGAGAGAGAUGGAGGUUCGGCGCUGGCCGAUCUCCUACUAUCCAAAAGUACCAUAUGUCCACUGGUGGCUGAUGUCCAGCGCAAUGAUCUUGUGUCCACAACAAUCUGA